This 500-nucleotide ribosomal RNA is filed under the name Cladocopium sp. C1. RNAcentral's name for it is "partial 23S ribosomal RNA". It matches the Rfam family "Bacterial large subunit ribosomal RNA", at positions 2077 to 2622 of the family's 2925-position model. The record is from RNAcentral. Lineage: Eukaryota; Dinophyceae; Suessiales; Symbiodiniaceae.
GUACGAAUAAUAUGCUGACUAAAGUUUAUUAACACUAAAGGACAAAAAGACCCUCUGAAGCUUUAUAGGGAUAAAACUUGGGUAACAUUCUCAAUACAAAUAUUCUUAUUGCAUGCCAGCUAAAGUAGUAAAUUAUUGGUUUUCUCCUAAGACCACUGUUUAAUUGGGGCGAUAACCUUAUCAACAGCCACCUAAGGUGAACAAAGCGAUACAAGGAUCCUAAACUUUUGACCAACUAAUAAGUGCAAAGAUACAUGUUUCGCUUAAUGGCCCAACAAGUCCUUCCCAGUACUUAAAUGCUAUCUUAAUGAGCUUUAAAUUAAUUUACCCGAGUUAAGCUACUCUACGGAUAACAGGCUUAAUUUCCGCAAUAUUAAAGGUCACAUUAUCACGAAAAAUGUACCUCGAUGUCGGCUUAUCAUCACUAAAAUAGGUAGCUUAAUUAUUGGUGGGAGUGCUCAUCCCGUAAAUUGGUUCGUGAGCUGGGUUCAAUACGAUGG